AGUGAACGCUGGCGGUAGGCCUAACACAUGCAAGUCGAACGGCAGCACAGUAAGAGCUUGCUCUUACGGGUGGCGAGUGACGGACGGGUGAGGAAUACAUCGGAAUCUACUUUUUCGUGGGGGAUAACGUAGGGAAACUUACGCUAAUACCGCAUACGACCUACGGGUGAAAGCAGGGGAUCUUCGGACCUUGCGCGAUUGAAUGAGCCGAUGUCGGAUUAGCUAGUUGGCGGGGUAAAGGCCCACCAAGGCGACGAUCCGUAGCUGGUCUGAGAGGAUGAUAAGCCACACUGGAACGGAGACACGGUCCAGACUCCUACGGGAGGCAGCAGUGGGGAAUAUUGGACAAUGGGCGCAAGCCUGAUCCAGCCAUACCGCGUGGGUGAAGAAGGCCUUCGGGUUGUAAAGCCCUUUUGUUGGGAAAGAAAAGCAGCAGGUUAAUACCCCGCUGUUCUGACGGUACCCAAAGAAUAAGCACCGGCUAACUUCGUG
This 492-nucleotide ribosomal RNA is filed under the name uncultured bacterium. RNAcentral's name for it is "partial 16S ribosomal RNA". It matches the Rfam family "Bacterial small subunit ribosomal RNA", at positions 29 to 507 of the family's 1533-position model. The record is from RNAcentral.